GUGGGGAAUAUUGGACAAUGGGCGAAAGCCUGAUCCAGCCAUGCCGCGUGAGUGAUGAAGGCCUUAGGGUUGUAAAGCUCUUUCAGUAGGGAAGAUAAUGACGGUACCUACAGAAGAAGCCCCGGCUAACUUCGUGCCAGCAGCCGCGGUAAUACGAAGGGGGCUAGCGUUGUUCGGAUUUACUGGGCGUAAAGCGCACGUAGGCGGAUCGUUAAGUCGGGGGUGAAAUCCUGGAGCUCAACUCCAGAACUGCCUUCGAUACUGGCGAUCUUGAGUCCGGAAGCGGUGAGUGGAACUCCUAGUGUAGAGGUGGAAUUCGUAGAUAUUAGGAAGAACACCAGUGGCGAAGGCGGCUCACUGGUCCGGUACUAACGCUGAGGUGCGAAAGCGUGGGGAGCAAACAGGAUUAGAAACCCUAGUAGUCC
Molecule: ribosomal RNA, 425 nt
Filed under: uncultured bacterium
Lineage: Bacteria
Description: partial 16S ribosomal RNA
Rfam family: Bacterial small subunit ribosomal RNA
Source: RNAcentral